Molecule: ribosomal RNA, 253 nt
Filed under: uncultured prokaryote
Description: partial 16S ribosomal RNA
Rfam family: Bacterial small subunit ribosomal RNA
Source: RNAcentral
UACAGAGGGUGCAAGCGUUGUUCGGAAUUACUGGGUGUAAAGGGUUCGUAGGCGGUGUGGCAAGUCGGGAGUGAAAUCUCUGGGCUUAACUCAGGGGCUGCUUCCGAAACUGCCGUGCUAGAGUGUGGGAGAGGCGCGUGGAAUUGCCGGUGUAGCGGUGAAAUGCGUAGAUAUCGGGAGGAACACCUGUGGCGAAAGCGGCUCACUGGACCACAACUGACGCUGAGGCGCGAAAGCUAGGGGAGCAAACAGG